CUAGCUUACGUGGAGGCGCUGGUGGGAUACUACCCUAGCUGUGUUGGCUUUCUAACCCGCACCACUUAUCGUGGUGGGAGACAGUGUCAGGCGGGCAGUUUGACUGGGGCGGUCGCCUCCUAAAAGGUAACGGAGGCGCUCAAAGGUUCCCUCAGAAUGGUUGGAAAUCAUUCAUAGAGUGUAAAGGCAUAAGGGAGCUUGACUGCGAGACCUACAAGUCGAGCAGGGUCGAAAGACGGACUUAGUGAUCCGGUGGUUCCGCAUGGAAGGGCCA
RNAcentral lists this ribosomal RNA (274 nucleotides) under Staphylococcus aureus. RNAcentral's name for it is "partial 23S ribosomal RNA". It matches the Rfam family "Bacterial large subunit ribosomal RNA", at positions 2171 to 2444 of the family's 2925-position model. The record is from RNAcentral. Lineage: Bacteria; Bacillati; Bacillota; Bacilli; Caryophanales; Staphylococcaceae.